GACGAACGCUGGCGGCGUGCUUAACACAUGCAAGUCGAACGGUGAAGGGACCGGUUUUUGCUGGUUCUGGAUGAGUGGCGAACGGGCGAGUAACACGUGAGUAACCUGCCCCCUUCUUCUGGAUAACCGCAUGAAAGUGUGGCUAAUACGGGAUAUUCUGCGCCUGCUGCAUGGUGGGUGUGGGAAAGAUAUUGUUUCGGUGGGGGAUGGGCUCGCGGCCUAUCAGCUUGUUGGUGGGGUGAUGGCCUACCAAGGCGGUGACGGGUAGCCGGCCUGAGAGGGGGGACGGUCACACUGGGACUGAGACACGGCCCAGACUCCUACGGGAGGCAGCAGUGGGGAAUAUUGCACAAUGGGCGCAAGCCUGAUGCAGCGACGCCGCGUGAGGGAUGGAGGCCUUCGGGUUGUAAACCUCUUUCGCCAGUGAAGCAGGCCUGUCCCUUUUGUGGGUGGGUUGACGGUAGCUGGAUAAGAAGCGCCGGCUAACUACGUG
RNAcentral lists this ribosomal RNA (493 nucleotides) under uncultured bacterium. RNAcentral describes it as "partial 16S ribosomal RNA". It matches the Rfam family "Bacterial small subunit ribosomal RNA", at positions 28 to 507 of the family's 1533-position model. The record is from RNAcentral.